Molecule: transfer RNA, 445 nt
Filed under: Acer sp. 'lanum'
Lineage: Eukaryota; Viridiplantae; Streptophyta; Magnoliopsida; Sapindales; Sapindaceae
Description: partial transfer RNA-Leu
Rfam family: tRNA (bases 396-445)
Source: RNAcentral
AAAAUCCGUCGACUUUAGAAAUCGUGAGGGUUCAAGUCCCUCUAUCCCCCCAAAAAGACCGAUUUGACUAUUUCUCCUACCCUCUCUUUUUUUUAGUGGUUCAAAAUUCGUUCUCUUUCUCAUUCAUUCUACCCUUUUACAAACGUAUCAGAGCAGAAUUUUUUUCUUUUAUCACAAAUCACAAGUGGUGUGGUAUAUAUGAUAUACGUACAAACGAACAUCUUUGAACAAAGAAUCCCGAUUCACAAUUCAUAUCAUUGCUCAUACUGAAACUUAUAAAUUAUUCUAUUCAAGAAAUCGAAUUCCACGCUCAAGACUUUUAAUACUUUUUUUAUCUUUUUUAAUUGACAUAGACCCCAGUCAUCUAGUAAAAUGAGGAUGAUGCGCCGGUAAUGGUCGGGAUAGCUCAGCUGGUAGAGCAGAGGACUGAAAAUCCUCGUGUCAC